CAGGUGAUUUCUAUUUUCUUUUCAACUUAAAAAGGUGUAUCAAUAUUCCAUCUUAAGACAAUAUGGUAGCCAUGAAGUCUAUGUAAGAAAGGCCUAAAGUCAUGACCCCCAUGACUUUCAGAUGAGACUACUCUGGAUGCAAAUGUGAACGGCUUCCUGUACUGCACUCUGCCAUUCCUCAUAACCUCUGGGCUGAUUAAAGUUCAAUUAGUUGGAACAUUUUAUUUCUCUCAUUCCCAAGAGUCUUUCUGGACUCCUCUAUAAGUGUGCUCUAAUUAGAAUUAAUAGAUGAGUUGCAAAUUUGUUUAUCCUGUCUUUGCAUUUAUUUUCUAUUUUCAGAGAUGAUUUUAGUCUUUUAGGUUUGAAACUUUUCCCCAGUAUGUAAAGGCCUUCUUCAAUCAACCUCUGGUGAACUGAGUGCUAAAGAGAAGCCUGUUUAUUCAAAUACUCUUUAUUCCUUCUUAGGAUAUUUUAUUUACAUUCUAAAAGCUUUUAGGAUGUAUUAAAGUUUCAUACUGAUGGAUUUAGUUGUGGAUCUUCGUUUCACUAAAUGUGCUGGGCAUUCACUGUACCCAUGCAAUCUGCUGCCUGUUGACCUUGGCAGCACUGAUAUUCCCUUUUGGACUCUUCCUCUAUUCUCUUAUAUGUGUAAAUGUUUCUAAAUAUUUAAAUCUUUACCUCAUUAUUUUGUUUUUUUGAGAUAAUAAUCUUCAACAUUAUUUUAAAGGUAUUCUAUUGAAUUAAAUUGAUUUGUUUUAUAUAUAUACAUACACACAUUGAUGUGUUUGUGUACUCGUAUAAAUAUAUAGAUGUCUGCCUACAAGGUUGUCAAUGAGUGGUUUGUAAGAUUGAUUUGGCCUAGUUUCACUGUGUUGUUGCUUAAUUCUCCUCUGUACCCUGAAUCUGCAUCAUUAUUUUGUUCUAAGCCUAUUUUCUCCUCAUUGUUUUUAACUCAUCUUUCUCUUUCCAGUUGCCAGCUCUCCUCGAAUGUGUUGGUCACCAUUCACAUUUAAUACAUAACGACUGUGCCCAAAUGCCACACUAAGAGACCUGACCAAACUAUAGCAUGACUUCUAGCAGCUUCGGGUCACGUCCUCAGGAUGACCCUAUCUGCCUUUCAAUGCCCAAUUGAGAAACC
Molecule: long non-coding RNA, 1138 nt
Filed under: Homo sapiens (human)
Lineage: Eukaryota; Metazoa; Chordata; Mammalia; Primates; Hominidae
Description: HSALNT0122820
Source: RNAcentral